AGUGAACGCUGGCGGUAGGCCUAACACAUGCAAGUCGAACGGCAGCACAGUAAGAGCUUGCUCUUACGGGUGGCGAGUGGCGGACGGGUGAGGAAUACAUCGGAAUCUACUUUUUCGUGGGGGAUAACGUAGGGAAACUUACGCUAAUACCGCAUACGACCUACGGGUGAAAGCAGGGGAUCUUCGGACCUUGCGCGACUGAAUGAGCCGAUGUCGGAUUAGCUAGUUGGCGGGGUAAAGGCCCACCAAGGCGACGAUCCGUAGCUGGUCUGAGAGGAUGAUCAGCCACACUGGAACUGAGACACGGUCCAGACUCCUACGGGAGGCAGCAGUGGGGAAUAUUGGACAAUGGGCGCAAGCCUGAUCCAGCCAUACCGCGUGGGUGAAGAAGGCCUUCGGGUUGUAAAGCCCUUUUGUUGGGAAAGAAAAGCAGCAGGUUAAUACCCCGCUGUUCUGACGGUACCCAAAGAAUAAGCACCGGCUAACUUCGUGC
Molecule: ribosomal RNA, 493 nt
Filed under: uncultured bacterium
Lineage: Bacteria
Description: partial 16S ribosomal RNA
Rfam family: Bacterial small subunit ribosomal RNA
Source: RNAcentral